AGAAUCAACGCUGGCGGCGUGCCUAACACAUGCAAGUCGAACGAGAAAGUGGAGCAAUCCAUGAGUAAAGUGGCGCACGGGUGAGUAACACGUGACUAACCUACCCUUGAGUGGGGGAUAACCUAGGGAAACCUGGGCUAAUACCGCAUAAUACCUUCGGGUCAAAGGAGCAAUUCGCUUUAGGAGGGGGUCGCGGCCGAUUAGUUAGUUGGCGGGGUAAUGGCCCACCAAGACUGUGAUCGGUAUCCGGCCUGAGAGGGCGCACGGACACACUGGAACUGAAACACGGUCCAGACUCCUACGGGAGGCAGCAGUGGGGAAUUUUGCGCAAUGGGGAAACCCUGACGCAGCAACGCCGCGUGGAGGAUGAAGCCCCUUGGGGCGUAAACUCCUUUCGAUCGGGAAGAUAAUGACGGUACCGAGAGAAGAAGCCCCGGCUAACUUCGCGCCAGCAGCCGC
This 459-nucleotide ribosomal RNA is filed under the name uncultured bacterium. Its description in RNAcentral is "SSU rRNA". It matches the Rfam family "Bacterial small subunit ribosomal RNA", at positions 26 to 518 of the family's 1533-position model. The record is from RNAcentral.